GGAGGGUUCGCCUAGUGGCCGAUGGCGCUGGUCUUGAAAACCGGUAAGGCAGCGAUGUCUUCGUGGGUUCGAAUCCCACACCCUCCGC
This 88-nucleotide transfer RNA is filed under the name Micromonospora olivasterospora. RNAcentral describes it as "tRNA-Ser". It matches the Rfam family "tRNA". From Rfam's summary of the family: Transfer RNA (tRNA) molecules are approximately 80 nucleotides in length. Their secondary structure includes four short double-helical elements and three loops (D, anti-codon, and T loops). Lineage: Bacteria; Bacillati; Actinomycetota; Actinomycetes; Micromonosporales; Micromonosporaceae. RNAcentral also lists the same sequence under 10 other names. The record is from RNAcentral.